GAUGAACGCUGGCGGCGUGCCUAAUACAUGCAAGUCGAGCGAACGGACGAGAAGCUUGCUUUUCUGAUGUUAGCGGCGGACGGGUGAGUAACACGUGGAUAACAUAACUAUAAGACUGGGAUAACUUCGGCAAACAGUAGCUAAGACCCGAUAAUAUUUUGAACCGCAUGGUUCAAAAGUGGAAGACGGUCUUGCUGUCACUUAUAGCUGGAUCCGCGCUGCAUUAGCUAGUUGGUAAGGUGACGGCUUACCAAGGCAACGAUGGAUAGACGACCUGAGAGGGAGAUCGGCCACACGGUAACUGAGAAACAGUCCCGACUCCUAGGGGAGGCCGCAGUAGGGAAUCUUACGCAAUGGGCGAAAGGCUGACGGAGCAACGCCGGCUGAGUGAUGAAGGACUUCUGCUGAUAAAACUCUGUUAUUAGGGAAGAACAUAUGUGUAUGUACCUGUGCACAUCUUGACGGUACCUAAUCAGAAAGCCACGGCUAACUCCGUG
This 497-nucleotide ribosomal RNA is filed under the name uncultured bacterium. RNAcentral's name for it is "partial 16S ribosomal RNA". It matches the Rfam family "Bacterial small subunit ribosomal RNA", at positions 28 to 507 of the family's 1533-position model. The record is from RNAcentral.